This 317-nucleotide unclassified non-coding RNA is filed under the name uncultured fungus. RNAcentral's name for it is "partial contains 5.8S ribosomal RNA, internal transcribed spacer 2, and large subunit ribosomal RNA". The record is from RNAcentral. Lineage: Eukaryota; Fungi.
AACGCACCUUGCGCUCCUUGGUAUUCCUCGGAGCAUGCCUGUUUGAGUAUCAUGAAAUUCUCAAAGCAAGUCUUUUGUUAAUUCAAUCGGCUUUGUUUUGGACUUGGGGGUUUGCAGAUUCACGUCUGCUCCUCUUAAAUGCAUUAGCUGGAUCUCCAUGAACUUGGUUCCACUCGGCGUGAUAAGUAUCAUUCGCUGAGGACACCUGUAAAAAGGUGGCCAGGGUUGAGGAUGAGCCGCUUCUAACGGUCCAUUUAAUUGGACAAUUAAACUUAUGAUCUGAUCUCAAAUCAGGUAGGACUACCCGCUGAACUUAA